This 497-nucleotide ribosomal RNA is filed under the name uncultured bacterium. RNAcentral's name for it is "partial 16S ribosomal RNA". It matches the Rfam family "Bacterial small subunit ribosomal RNA", at positions 28 to 507 of the family's 1533-position model. The record is from RNAcentral.
GAUGAACGCUGGCGGCGUGCCUAAUACAUGCAAGUCGAGCGAACAGGCGAGGAGCUUGCUCCUUUGACGUUAGCGGCGGACGGGUGAGUAACACGUAGGUAACCUACCUAUAAGACUGGGAUAACUUCGGGAAACCGGAGCUAAUACCGGAUAAUAUUUCGAACCGCAUGGUUCGAUAGUGAAAGAUGGCUUUGCUAUCACUUAUAGAUGUACCUGCGCCGUAUUAGCUAGUUGGUAAGGUAACGGCUUACCAAGGCAACGAUACGUAGCCGACCUGAGAGGGUGAUCGGCCACACUGGAACUGAGACACGGUCCAGACUCCUACGGGAGGCAGCAGUAGGGAAUCUUCCGCAAUGGGCGAAAGCCUGACGGAGCAACGCCGCGUGAGUGAUGAAGGUCUUCGGAUCGUAAAACUCUGUUAUUAGGGAAGAACAAACGUGUAAGUAACUGUGCCCGUCUUGACGGUACCUAAUCAGAAAGCCACGGCUAACUACGUG